Molecule: ribosomal RNA, 292 nt
Filed under: uncultured Lactobacillales bacterium
Lineage: Bacteria; Bacillati; Bacillota; Bacilli; Lactobacillales
Description: partial 16S ribosomal RNA
Rfam family: Bacterial small subunit ribosomal RNA
Source: RNAcentral
GUGUCAGCAGCCGCGGUAAUACGUAGGUGGCAAGCGUUGUCCGGAUUUAUUGGGCGUAAAGCGAGCGCAGGCGGUCAAUUAAGUCUGAUGUGAAAGCCCCCGGCUCAACCGGGGAGGGUCAUUGGAAACUGGUUGACUUGAGUGCAGAAGAGGAGAGUGGAAUUCCAUGUGUAGCGGUGAAAUGCGUAGAUAUAUGGAGGAACACCAGUGGCGAAGGCGACUCUCUGGUCUGUAACUGACGCUGAGGCUCGAAAGCGUGGGUAGCGAACAGGAUUAGAAACCCUAGUAGUCC